GAUGAACGCUGACAGCAUGCUUAACACAUGCCAGUCAACUUGAAUUUGGGUUUUUAACUUAGGUUUGGGUGGCGGACGGGUGAGUAACGCGUAAAGAACUUGCCUCACAGCUAGGGACAACAUUUGGAAACGAAUGCUAAUACCUAAUAUUAUGAUAAUAGGGCAUCCUAUAAUUAUGAAAGCUAUAAGCGCUGUGAGAGAGCUUUGCGUCCCAUUAGCUAGUUGGAGAGGUAACGGCUCACCAAGGCGAUGAUGGGUAGCCGGCCUGAGAGGGUGAUCGGCCACAAGGGGACUGAGACACGGCCCUUACUCCUACGGGAGGCAGCAGUGGGGAAUAUUGGACAAUGGACCGAGAGUCUGAUCCAGCAAUUCUGUGUGCACGAUGAAGUUUUUCGGAAUGUAAAGUGCUUUCAGUUGGGAAGAAACAAAUGACGGUACCAACAGAAGAAGUGACGGCUAAAUACGUG
RNAcentral lists this ribosomal RNA (467 nucleotides) under uncultured bacterium. RNAcentral's name for it is "partial 16S ribosomal RNA". It matches the Rfam family "Bacterial small subunit ribosomal RNA", at positions 28 to 507 of the family's 1533-position model. The record is from RNAcentral.